RNAcentral lists this ribosomal RNA (119 nucleotides) under Pteropus alecto (black flying fox). Lineage: Eukaryota; Metazoa; Chordata; Mammalia; Chiroptera; Pteropodidae. The record is from RNAcentral.
GCCUACGGCCAUGCCACCCUGAACAAGCCCAAUCCUGUCUGAUCUCAGAAGCUAAGCAGAGUGGGACCUGGUUAGUACUUGGAUGAGAGACCACCUAGGAAGACCAGGUGCUGUAGGCA